Molecule: long non-coding RNA, 587 nt
Organism: Anopheles merus
Lineage: Eukaryota; Metazoa; Arthropoda; Insecta; Diptera; Culicidae
Exons: 2
Source: RefSeq, a predicted model, not a curated record
UUCAUUCAGGGCUUGCCACAUGAACCGCUCAAAAUCUUUCACAGCGAGGUCAAGAGUGGCGUAACGGGAACAAUCGAAGACAUUCGCGAACGAGGCGAUCAUCGGCAGGAGCCUGUUAAAGUCCGUCCGCGCGUAGUCAAGGCGUGGUGUUAGCACAGGAACGGCUGAUUCCUCUCGUGGUAGCGGGAUGGCCAACUCAAGCGCAGGGUGAUAGGUGUCAAUUGCUAACAGCGGGGUGAGGCAAAGUUCAAGCGGAAGGCAAACAGAAGCAACAGCAUUAUUUACAAACAUCAGGUCUAAGACAACGCUGCCUAAGACAACGCUGCCGUUAUAUUACAACGCACACUAGCUCAAGUGAUGGAUGCACCGUUGUGUGUUCCCGUGACGUCAGAGACUGAGAGCACGCAAUCAACACACCUCCACCGCGGGAACAUGUACUGUUGUCAACACUACGAUCGCAUCGGUAGACUCGGAAGCUAUCGUCAAACAGCAAAGCCGAAGGCGAAACUCAUCGACCUUCGUGCGCAGUCCCCGCACGUUUUGAUAGUAAACAGAGGCAGUGGAACGGGCAGUGCGAAGCGCAUUAG